AGACUGUAAUAUUUUAACAAUUAUCGUCAAAAUUUGUUUUAAAAUUUUUAAAAAAAUAAACUUCAUUAGGUAGGUACACUAAAUUUUAUUUUUUGAAACAAAAUGCAUUUGUUUUUUUCUCUGUAACCUACUCGACGUGGUUUCGCAAAACAAAUUUUCGGUUAUUUUUGGGCAAACAUAACUGUAAGUCCAAAAUACCAAAAGGGGCACAUGGUGUAAGAACCGAUGCUGCAAAUAAAAAGGUAGUACAAUUAUUGGUUCAAUAAAUAAGACCAUGACUUUUUGUGGGACCGCUUAGCACGACCGUUCGGUCGUCAGCCACCUACCGGCCACCAUGUCAAGGUAGUUCCCGUUAGAGGGGAACCUAACUGAACUUAAACCUUUAGCGAUAGGUAUUGUAGAAAAUGAAAUCACCAAAAUUCAACGUAACGACCAAUCAAAUAUUUCGAAAACACAGUUAAAACAUUAACGAACAUGAUAAUCUCAGCAGCAGAAAUAUCAACCAGUAGUUUUAUAAAUUACAAUAAUAAACCCAAGGUUCUAUGGAAUGACGAGAACAAUUAUAAAAUAUUUUUAUUUUUAUUAUAACACCAGAACACUUUGCCACUUUAGUGACUUUUGACAGAUUAAAUUUAGUUCACUCAAAUAAUAGCAUGGAAGUAUGGAAAGGACUUCAUAGGUAUUUUCAAUGAAUGAAAAGAAUGAAAGAUAUAUUGUAACUACUCAUUAUUUUGAAAAGUUUUAAUUUUUUGAAAAUACUAUUUUUCACAUACUUUUUUGUAAUUAAAAAACCAAUAUUGGUUAUUGGUAUUUUUUUACCGAUUACUAAACUACAAGACAGACUGGACUGUGAUCAG
Molecule: non-coding RNA, 857 nt
Organism: Cinara cedri
Lineage: Eukaryota; Metazoa; Arthropoda; Insecta; Hemiptera; Aphididae
Source: the annotation of a GenBank genome assembly